This 484-nucleotide ribosomal RNA is filed under the name uncultured bacterium. RNAcentral describes it as "partial 16S ribosomal RNA". It matches the Rfam family "Bacterial small subunit ribosomal RNA", at positions 30 to 507 of the family's 1533-position model. The record is from RNAcentral.
AUUGAACGCUGGCGGCAGGCCUAACACAUGCAAGUCGAGCGGAUGAAGGGAGCUUGCUCCUGGAUUCAGCGGCGGACGGGUGAGUAAUGCCUAGGAAUCUGCCUGGUAGUGGGGGAUAACGUCCGGAAACGGGCGCUAAUACCGCAUACGUCCUGAGGGAGAAAGUGGGGGAUCUUCGGACCUCACGCUAUCAGAUGAGCCUAGGUCGGAUUAGCUAGUUGGUGGGGUAAAGGCCUACCAAGGCGACGAUCCGUAACUGGUCUGAGAGGAUGAUCAGUCACACUGGAACUGAGACACGGUCCAGACUCCUACGGGAGGAAGCAGUGGGGAAUAUUGGACGAUGGGCGAAAGCCUGAUCCAGCCAUGCCGCGUGUGUGAAGAAGGUCUUCGGAUUGUAAAGCACUUUAAGUUGGGAGGAAGGGCAGUAAGUUAAUACCUUGCUGUUUUGACGUUACCAACAGAAUAAGCACCGGCUAACUUCGUG